RNAcentral lists this ribosomal RNA (428 nucleotides) under uncultured bacterium. RNAcentral describes it as "partial 16S ribosomal RNA". It matches the Rfam family "Bacterial small subunit ribosomal RNA", at positions 354 to 796 of the family's 1533-position model. The record is from RNAcentral.
GUAGGGAAUAUUGGACAAUGGGGGCAACCCUGAUCCAGCGACGCCGCGUGAGUGACGAAGGCCUUCGGGUCGUAAAGCUCUGUUGCAAGGGAAAAACAAAAUGAUGGUACCUUGCUAGAAAGGAUCGGCUAACUUCGUGCCAGCAGCCGCGGUAAGACGAGGGAUCCUAGCGUUGUUCGGAAUUAUUGGGCGUAAAGCGGGUGUAGGUGGCUUUGUAAGUCAGGUGUGAAAGCCUGGGGCUUAACCGCAGAAGUGCAUUUGAUACUGCGAAGCUUGAGUGCUGGAGAGGCUACUAGAAUUCGUGGUGUAGUGGUGAAAUACGUAGAUAUCAAGAGGAAUACCGGAGGCGAAGGCGGGUAGCUGGCCAGACACUGACACUCAGACCCGAAAGCGUGGGGAUCAAACAGGAUUAGAAACCCUGGUAGUCC